UUCGCAAUGCCCGAAAGGGUGACGAAGCGACGCCGCGUGCGGGAAGAAGGCCUUCGGGUUGUAAACCGCUGUCGGGAGUUAAGAAAUGUAAGGAUGUUAAUAGCAUCUUUGCUUGACUAAGGCUCCGGAGGAAGCCACGGCUAACUCUGUGCCAGCAGCCGCGGUAAUACAGAGGCGGCAAGCGUUGCUCGGAAUUAUUGGGCGUAAAGAGCACGUAGGCGGCUAUGUAAGUCGGUUGUGAAAGCCUUCCGCUCAACGGGAGAACAGCAUCCGAUACUGCAUGGCUUGAGUGCGGGAGGGGAGAGUGGAACUUCUGGUGGAGCGGUGGAAUGCGUAGAUAUCAGAAGGAACGCCGGCGGCGAAAGCGGCUCUCUGGCCCAUAACUGACGCUGAGUGUGCGAAAGCUAGGGGAGCAAACGGGAUUAGAUACCCCGGUAGUCCUAGCCGUAAAC
RNAcentral lists this ribosomal RNA (452 nucleotides) under uncultured bacterium. RNAcentral describes it as "bacterial SSU rRNA". It matches the Rfam family "Bacterial small subunit ribosomal RNA", at positions 365 to 807 of the family's 1533-position model. The record is from RNAcentral.